This 119-nucleotide ribosomal RNA is filed under the name Microtus ochrogaster (prairie vole). Lineage: Eukaryota; Metazoa; Chordata; Mammalia; Rodentia; Cricetidae. The record is from RNAcentral.
GUCUACGGCCAUACCUCCCUGAACGCACCUGAUCUCGUUUGAUCUCGGAAGCUAAGCAGGGUCGGGCCUGGUUAGUACUUGGAUGGGAGACCGCCUGGGAAUACUGGGUGCUGUAGGCU